UAGGAACAAUCUACAUCAAACCGUGACGCCCCGAGCCUGGUUAAACCAAAAGCUUGGACCGCGACACGAAGAUUUACCCAUUAACCUCAACCGGCGUCACCUAGAAAACCUGUAGGUUUACGGAGCAGCCCAAACGCCACAAUCUGCAGUCUGACUGGAGACUUGAUGUGUCCCCGCCACCCUUGACCACCUGCACAAGCAGUGUGAUGAUGUCAGACGAGGGGCCACGAGCACGAGUGACCUCAGGAGAUGGAGAGCUGGAGCACUGUGGCGUUGUGUGUUGCAGCGCUGCGGACCGCACCGGGCCAACACGCCUGGAAAUGGAUCACGCUGGCGGAGCUCCAGUGGGGAAAGGCUCCCUGGUUCCCCGGUUCCCCCCGGCCACUGGUUGCCUGUACAGCUGCUGAUCCUACCAAGCAGCUGGGAGCAGAAUCCCUCCUGAACCUAUGGGAGGGAAAGACAGAAAAAUCAUAAGACCUGGCUUGAUGUCAUUGCAGAAAAUACUGUGGGAGAUGCAGUUUUAAUCGAGCAUAGGUUUUUGUUUCUUACUAGUUUGAGGAGUUUUUUUUUUUUGUUUUUUUGAAAGGGGCUGAGCUGAAGAAAUAUGAUAGUUUGACCAACAAUAUGGAUCCUUCAUUGCUCCAAAAUAUGUGUCUUCUUAGUCAAAGGAGGGGAGCUUUAUCCAUGUGAAUGUUAUUCCUUCCAGGGUCCCACCAACAUACUUUGGCAAAUAUCAAGCAUUGUUAAUGAUGUGUGAAAUAAUAGCCUUGGGUGGAUUUUGUUGAUGACAUUUUGCAGUUUUGCUUGCCUUUUUCUGUUUUCCUGUUUCGUGUAUCAUAAGGCCUAUGGGACUAGAUUUCUGAUUUACAUCUUAUUCAAGAGGUAAAACUGCAAGGUGAUGGGGUUAUUCAAAUAAAAUACUUUAUUUUAAAUAUAAACCUCUCACUAUUGUGAGGUAUGUAUCACAGUCGAUAGAUCAGACAUUUUCCUCAAAGUCUUCAUUUCCCAGUGUAGCUCUGUUGCUUUGAGCCCAAGUACGCCCACAGCAUGUCUGGGAUUGCCAUCUAUAUCACAAAGCCAUAUCAUGUUUGUGUGCAUUCACAGAGCUUCUGUGCAGCUCCCUGUUCGCUUACAGAGAGAUGGAGAUGGAGGGGAAAGGGGAAGAAAUAGAGUUAUGGCUGAAUUAUAGACAUUCCGUCUCCAAUGCUAAAUGCCUUGCCAUACAUGCCUAUAAACCGCUGUCUGCAGUUGAGAAGUUGGAUAUCCCCGCCUCGACUCGACUGUUUUUCAAAGCUUUUUUAUUUUUUUAUUUUAGUUUUUCUGGUUAUUAAUGUCUGUCUCCCUAAUAAAUACAGAAGUCCAUAAGAUGGGAUGAGAUUUAAGCUUUGAUAAUGUUUGUCGUGUCCUUGAUUUAUCUCACCCCAAGAGGAAAUUAAACCUUGGUUUUGUCUGCAUGGAAAGGAAGUGUUCAGCAUUUUCAAAGGAUUUUUUUUUCCUGCCCAAGUAUUUCAAAGGAAUCUGAUGGAGUUGCCAGUCAUCAACCUCAAGAUAUUCCCUCAUAACCAACAGUAAUAAGAACCAAAUUAUUUUGAGAAUUCAGAACGGUCCAUAAGACUUACUCACUGGGAUUUCUAAACCUUGCGACGGCACACAAUUGUACUUUUCUUUUCAUUUACAUCCUUAAAUGGCAUACUUUAUAUGAUGAAUGUGAAUUUCUCUUUAUCUAGCUGCAUUCUCUGUCUUUAAAAUGUUUGUGUGUGAUACUACAUUCAUUAGGCUAUACUUCCUCUGGCUAAUUGCUAAUUGACAUCACGCCACAUUUCAGCAACGUCACCGUGCACUGUUGGAAGCGGGCUUAAACGAGGCAGCUGCGCCGGUCUCACACCUUUUAGCCUUUUGUGCAGAAACAGACCUGGCUCCUGCGGGUUGUUUCAGCUGUUCAAUCUGCUUCUAGAGAAGAGUGUCUUUUUAUUAUUGCGGGGCUGCCCUAUUUCCCCUUAACUCAGCCGUGUUUCAAUGCUCUUAAAAUUACACAUGCCAGCCAAAUAUACAGGGCUCGUAUCUCUUCAACAGCUGCAAUAACUAGCUCAGCUGCCAGUCAAAGCCACUGACGGGUGCUGUGAAAUUGUUGGUGGUGGCAGCAGGUGAUGUCACAGCAGCAUGAUUGCAUUCCAUCAUUCCAAAUGCUUUUCAGCAAGGACAUUUUGGUGGAAAGAGGCACAACCUUAAGACACAUUACGAGACUAUUUAAUUACAGCGGUGACUGAAAAUCGGAGAGAAAAAAAAAUCUUGUAGGUUGUCUAUCAGUGUUUGUUGACACAUGUGGGAGUCUCUGUAUUGACCUUGAACAUGAGAGGCCAUAAUGUUUGUGUUGACGGCAACAGAGUUUUUUAGUAAGUGUAGUAUAGCUGUAUAUAUUGCCAUUAUUUAGGUUUCUACAUGUUUACUAAAAUUCUUUUAAAUUCUUUUUUAUACAG
This is a long non-coding RNA of Clupea harengus (Atlantic herring), 2477 nucleotides long. NCBI's taxonomy places the organism in Eukaryota, Metazoa, Chordata, Actinopteri, Clupeiformes, Clupeidae. The record is from Ensembl.